UGUUAGAAAUAGUCUGUAAUAUGUGUCAAUGUAAAUCUUAAGGAGAUCGGCAUGAGAGUCCAUGGUUAUAGGAUAGAAUCUGUAAAUUAGGAAUUGUUGUAUAGGAUCCUAGAAUUAUGGAUCUCCAUGCCGUAUUCGUAGGAGAUUGUUUUCUUGUACUGUUACUAUAUAAUCAACACGUACUGCGCCUCUGGCUAUCAUCUUGCCAAGCGCUUCCAC
Molecule: long non-coding RNA, 219 nt
Filed under: Sorghum bicolor (sorghum)
Lineage: Eukaryota; Viridiplantae; Streptophyta; Magnoliopsida; Poales; Poaceae
Description: long non-coding RNA (SBIC_LNC009720)
Source: RNAcentral